RNAcentral lists this ribosomal RNA (406 nucleotides) under uncultured bacterium. RNAcentral's name for it is "bacterial SSU rRNA". It matches the Rfam family "Bacterial small subunit ribosomal RNA", at positions 28 to 433 of the family's 1533-position model. The record is from RNAcentral.
GACGAACGCUGGCGGCGUGCUUAACACAUGCAAGUCGAGCGGUAAGGCCCUUUCGGGGGUACGACGAGCGGCGAACGGGUGAGUAACACGUGGGUGACCUGCCCUCCAGCUCUGGGAGUAAGCCUGGGAAACGUAGGGUCUAAUACUGGAUAUGACUCCACGGUGCAUGUCGUGGGGUGGAAAGCCUUGUGCGGCUGAGGAUGGGCCCGCGGCCUAUCAGCUUGUUGGUGGGGUGAGGCCUACCAAGGCGACGACGGGUAGCCGGCCUGAGAGGGCGACCGGCCACACUGGGACUGAGACACGGCCCAGACUCCUACGGGAGGCAGCAGUGGGGAAUCUUGCGCAAUGGGCGAAAGCCUGACGCAGCGACGCCGCGUGAGGGAUGACGGCCUCGGUUGUAACGUAC